Long non-coding RNA from Sciurus carolinensis (gray squirrel), 689 nucleotides. RefSeq lists it as uncharacterized. NCBI's taxonomy places the organism in Eukaryota, Metazoa, Chordata, Mammalia, Rodentia, Sciuridae. The transcript is spliced from 3 exons. The record is from RefSeq and is a predicted model, not a curated record.
GCUGUGUCCUUCCUGGGUCCUAACACCAGCCUGUUAGGAGCCCCGGGAGCAGCUUCAGGACCUCAGGACCAGACAUGGACAGGGUUGCUGUGACUCAGCUCGCUGCAGUGACCCAGCUGAGCUCCUGAGCAAGCCUCUGAGCCUCUCUCCCUCGAGUUCCUCAUCUGCACAGUGGAGGUGACAUGCGUGCUCCACGGGGGAAGCAGGGCUGGGAAGGGACCCGCGUGCACUCCGCGUCCAGGAAACGCACCGUGAUCACCGCGGGAAAGCAGAAGACAGCGGCCAGCGACAAUCCCAGCCGUCCCAACUCCAGCUUACUUCCUAAAGAGGACAAGAACUUCACCUCCAGGCUCCACGGGGGAGGAGGCCAGGGGUGUCAAGACCUAAGGUUCUGCAGUGGUGGGAUGGAGCACGGGCCUUCGCAUGCUGGGCAAGUGUCUACUGCUGGACCACACCAGCCCUUCCGUUUAUGGGGUCUCGCGAAGCUGUGAUGCUCCUGCCUCAGCCUCCCGAGUAGCUGGGCACACGGGUGUGGCCUCACGCGUGGCCUCACACCCGGCCUGUGCACCUGCUCCUGACCCCACACCAGGCUGCAGGCCUAGGCCCACUUCUGCACCUGCCUGUCGCCACUCUCCUACUCAGGUCAAGACACAGAGCCCAAUUCCCUUCAAAGCAGUGUUUCCUAAAUC